RNAcentral lists this transfer RNA (82 nucleotides) under Cryptococcus deneoformans B-3501A. RNAcentral describes it as "tRNA-Leu". It matches the Rfam family "tRNA". From Rfam's summary of the family: Transfer RNA (tRNA) molecules are approximately 80 nucleotides in length. Their secondary structure includes four short double-helical elements and three loops (D, anti-codon, and T loops). Lineage: Eukaryota; Fungi; Basidiomycota; Tremellomycetes; Tremellales; Cryptococcaceae. The record is from RNAcentral.
GGCGAGAUGUGUGAGUGGUCUAAACAGCUGUCUUAAGGUUCGGCAGUCCUCCGGGGCGUGGGUUCGAAUCCCACUCUCGUCA